This 528-nucleotide small RNA is filed under the name fungal sp. JH 44. RNAcentral's name for it is "eukaryotic LSU rRNA". The stretch from base 142 to 295 matches the Rfam family "5.8S ribosomal RNA". The record is from RNAcentral. Lineage: Eukaryota; Fungi.
UUCCGUACGGUGACCUGCGGAAGGAUCAUUAUUGAUUGGUCGAAAGACCUUAUCAGAUUCUACCACCUCUGUGAACCGUUGACCUCCGGGUUAAUAAUCAAACAUCAGUGUAACGAACGUAAGAGUAUCUUAAUUAAACAAAACUUUUAACAACGGAUCUCUUGGCUCUCGCAUCGAUGAAGAACGCAGCGAAAUGCGAUAAGUAAUGUGAAUUGCAGAAUUCAGUGAAUCAUCGAAUCUUUGAACGCACCUUGCGCCUUUUGGUAUUCCGAAAGGCAUGCCUGUUUCAGUGUCAUGAAAUCUCAAUCUAAUAUGUUUUCUGAACAUGUUAGGCUUGGACUUGGGUGUCUGCCAGCAAUGGCUCACCUCAAAUGACUUAGUGGAACAUCCCACAUCAGUGUUAGACGUAAUAAGUUUCGUCUCUCCUUGUGGUGAUGACUGCUCAAAACCUGCCAUCGCGCACCUUUUGACUUUGACCUGAAAUCAGGUAGGGCUACCCGCUGAACUUAAGCAUAUCAAUAGGCGGAG